Molecule: RNA transcript, 2977 nt
Organism: Bolinopsis microptera
Lineage: Eukaryota; Metazoa; Ctenophora; Tentaculata; Lobata; Bolinopsidae
Gene name: frizzled-8-like
Exons: 7
Source: RefSeq, a predicted model, not a curated record
UAUUGUUACAGUAUAAUGUCAUGAAUGUUUUGUUGUGGUGCACGAUUGUGGCGUCACUGUACACCACUGGAUCUGGAUACUACUCUCAGCCGAUCUGCAAUCCCACGCUGGGGUACUGCGCCAAGUUUUUCAACAUGACCAAGCUGCCGAACAAGUUCAACGAGGAUAGUUACGCUCGGGUCGUCAAGAUACAGAUGCACUAUGCAGACAUAGCUACCAGCGAGUGCCACCCCUACGUUGACCUCAUGAUCUGCUCUACCCUCUUCCCUGCCUGUACCGGCGGCUACGAUAUCACCCUACCGUGUUACGACUUCUGCGAGGAGGUAAAAACAUCUUGUGGUCCAUUCAUCAAGAAAGCCAGGAUACCAUGGCCGUUCUACUUCGAAUGCCUUGAUCUGCCGAGGAAAAAGAGGGGCAGGUUCUGCAUAGACGAGAAGUUCACUCUGGCUGACCUGGAGAAGAUAAAACCACCCAAACCUCCAGUUCAGCAAGUUGAGCAGGAAGAAGAGAAGAAGACGGACCCAGUGGUCGAAGACAGAGAUCUCUCUAUCUCCACCCCCUGGUCGGGAAUCUACACCAAUGAUCCAGAAAUCAAGAACUGGGGUCUCGAGCUGGUAACCACUCCUGUUGCUAGCAGGAAGGAUAUCAGAGAAUACGAGGAGUGCUCCGAGCCGAUACUCUUCUCGGUUUCUGAACAAAACACCACUCGAGUCUGGAUCAUGGCAUGGUCAAGCAUUGCACUCUCACUCUCCUUCGUCAUGCUCUUCGUCGUGACAUCACACGGAAAAGUCAACAAACCAGAGAAUAUCAUCGUCAUCAUCUGCUUCUGUUUCCUCUUCCAAGCAGCCGGCUUCCUCCUGUCUGUCAUGGUUCCCCAGUCCCCCUUCAAGUGUUCCAUCGUGGAGAAGCCUGGAGACCCGAUCUACUUGAAAACCAACAGUCCCUCUCCUACCUGCUACCUCACCUUCACUGCCACUUACUUCAGCGGACUAGCAGCUAAUCUGUGGUGGGUGACCCUCAACCUCCUCUGGUUCCUGAUGCUUGGGAUGAACUGGAGCAGUGACGGCAGCAUCUUCAAAGUGUUCCGGUACCUGCAUCUUGUGAUCGGUGGACUAGCUGGAGGUCUCACCAUCACGAUCCUGGCUGUUGGAGCAGUGGAGGGUGAUGAUCUAUCCGGUGGGUGUAUGGCCGGUGGAGUACACCCCGAGAACCUAGCAACCUACGAUCUGACACCUAACUGUGUGCUCCUCAGUAUAGGUGGGGUGGUCCUCCUCUGUGGAACUUACACUCUCGUCAAGAUCUCCAGGAUUGACGGCUACAGACUGACCCACGAUAUACCAGUUCAGCGCCUGAAGAACACAGCUAUAUUCUCCUACGGCUACCUUCUCAUCUCUCUCAUUAAAACACUCUGUCAGUUCUACGAACUAACCUACCGUUCAGAUUGGUACAAAAACUGUGACCCUAACAUCAAAACAAACUAUACCAGCCUAGAGCUGAACAAUCUCACUCACACAGACAAUAGCACAGCAGGUAUCCUCGACAACAAUUCGUCUUGCGGGCCUGAUGUGCGAAUAUUUAUUACGAAAUAUACUUGUUAUCUAUUGUUACCUAUUUUAGUUUCGUGUCAUUUGAAGAACACUGUUAGUAUUUUGGACAUUAUUAAACGGCUUGUACCGCUUGCAAAAGGGUACACUCACAGAUCCGGAGAAACGAAAGUUUAAAAUAUAUCCUUGUGUUUGGUUUUUUGUCUGCUUUAAAUUUGAAUGUUUUCAUCAAAUUUUAAAAUUUGAUCUACAUUAGAUCUGAAUUAUUCACGAAUUAUUAUUGAAGGAUUUAUCGUUAAAUACGCUUUGCUUAUUUUAGCACCUACAUCUUUAUGAAAAAGAGAAAAGUGAUCAUCGAGCCAAUGGACCAAAAAAUUAAAGCGACGAGUCAUGUUUAUUGUAAAAUGUCAAGUACGAAUCAAAAUACAAACACCAAAGGUCAAUAUUUUGACCGACGGCUGGUCAAAAAGCGGGUAACAAAAACGGUCCAGGAAAUGGCUUAUUAAAUUAGCCGCGGCAGUAUCGUCAAUGUUUACAACCCGGUCUCAACUCUCAAUGAAUAUUACUUAUUGGCACGGACUCCACCGAGAGUGCGAAGUUCAACUGAAGCUGCAAACUUUUAGGGGAUCAGUAAUUCGAUUCCGAACUCCAGAAACUCUGUUUGCCUUCAAAUUUACCGGCAAUCCAGUAAUAUGCACGUUCUUUCUCUCUCCCCUCCGUAACUGGACUAUAUUCAAAACGGUAUCCGUAUAUUGAAUAUAUAUAUAUUGAAUAUUUCGCACAUUACUUUUGUCACUCGUGAGGGUCCUUUAUCAGUCCAUUGAAGUGUCAGAAAUGUAUUGUUGAUUGUAGUUUUAAGAAGCCGCGAACGCCGUCCAAAGACCAUACUGCUAUUGCUAAUUCUCUAAUUUGUGUUCUGCGCUACUCGCUCUCAGCUGUCUCCUCAACAUGGAGGUAGAACAGGACGACCAAAGGGGCUGUGACCGACUACUUCAUCCAAUCAGAUCCAGCUCCAACAUCUUUUCCAAAGUACACAAACAUUCGGAGUUAAGAGAUAAUUUUAACGUCUAUGAGGCGGUUAGUUGUGCGGGUUCCUUGAAGACAAGAUCCCAAAAUAAAACAGCACCAACGAUGUCGACCGACUCAGGUUACAGUGAGGGAAAUGAUCAGAAGCUGAUGAGACCUCGCUCAGUUCCCUGAAUAGGCAGAAUUCAGCAGCAUCUAGCACCGGAUCUGUAUUUAGCACGGGGUCUCAUGGAACUGAAGAGAAUCAUGACAGCGAGAAGAAUGAUCAGUUUGUGAGCUCCACAGAGCGAUUCAGAGCCACACAGCAUACAUCAUCAUCAGAUGCUUCAGCUUGUGAAGAAGUAUUUGACGAAUUUACCCCAACCAUCGAGGAACGCACCCCAACCUCCAACCAUUCUGACAAGGAC